This 348-nucleotide unclassified non-coding RNA is filed under the name soil metagenome. Its description in RNAcentral is "partial contains 5.8S ribosomal RNA, internal transcribed spacer 2, and large subunit ribosomal RNA". The stretch from base 1 to 120 matches the Rfam family "5.8S ribosomal RNA", at positions 35 to 154 of the family's 154-position model. The record is from RNAcentral.
GAUGAAGAACGUAGCGAAAUGCGAUAAGUAAUGUGAAUUGCAGAAUUCAGUGAAUCAUCGAGUCUUUGAACGCACAUUGCGCCCCCUGGUAUUCCGGGGGGCAUGCCUGUCCGAGCGUCAUUGCUGCCCUCAAGCACGGCUUGUGUGUUGGGCCCCCGUCCCCGGUUUCCCCCGGGGACGGGCCCGAAAGGCAGCGGCGGCACCGCGUCCGGUCCUCGAGCGUAUGGGGCUUUGUCACCCGCUCUGUAGGCCCGGCCGGCGCCAGCCGACACCCAACUUUAUUUCUAAGGUUGACCCCGGAUCAGGUAGGGAUACCCGCUGAACUUAAGCAUAUCAAUAAGCGGAGGA